AUGGGACUUGAUGAAU
RNAcentral lists this small RNA (16 nucleotides) under Arabidopsis thaliana (thale cress). Its description in RNAcentral is "ATSL052770". Lineage: Eukaryota; Viridiplantae; Streptophyta; Magnoliopsida; Brassicales; Brassicaceae. The record is from RNAcentral.